Molecule: non-coding RNA, 610 nt
Organism: Anolis sagrei ordinatus
Lineage: Eukaryota; Metazoa; Chordata; Lepidosauria; Squamata; Anolidae
Source: RefSeq, a predicted model, not a curated record
UAUUCCUGCAGGGCAGCCCAUGUAGUUCAUUCCAAUGCCAUGAUUGUAUAAAUUGUACUUUUUAAAUUAGUCAUUAUUAGCAUCUUUCUUGCACCAUUCUUCAAUUUUUUAAUUGACAGGUUAUAAUAGAUUUAAUACAGUAGUCAUAAGAAUAUUGUCCCCUUCCAAAAAAUCCUUUCAGACUCCUCUUUGCUGUAUGUAUAUAGUCCUGCCGAUUAUACUGGAUUACCCGAAGCUGCUAGGAAAUGAAGCUAAAGCUUUCUGCAUUUAAUACUCACUCUCUUCCAUUGAACCAUGAACCACAGCAUUACAUUAAUUGACCAUUACAUACACUAUACAUUAAAACUGAUAUUACGUUCAAGUUACCUAAUCAUCAACUAUUCCCUGCCCAUUGUAUCCAUUGGCCUUUUCCAAUCUAAUGUCUUUCACAUGGGUUUGGACUAUCAUUCCUAGGGAGGGUGGUCAAAACCAAAAUGCUGGACUAACAGUGUGCAGGUGAAAGGAGAAACAAGUACUUUGUGUAAUUUCUCCAUUACAUAAUAUGGAACAAUUUAAACAUGGCUUACAGGCUGUUACAUGAACUUUAAUAAAUAUUUUAUUCUUGUUUUAA